Molecule: ribosomal RNA, 2904 nt
Filed under: Escherichia coli
Lineage: Bacteria; Pseudomonadati; Pseudomonadota; Gammaproteobacteria; Enterobacterales; Enterobacteriaceae
Description: 23S ribosomal RNA
Rfam family: Bacterial large subunit ribosomal RNA
Source: RNAcentral
GGUUAAGCGACUAAGCGUACACGGUGGAUGCCCUGGCAGUCAGAGGCGAUGAAGGACGUGCUAAUCUGCGAUAAGCGUCGGUAAGGUGAUAUGAACCGUUAUAACCGGCGAUUUCCGAAUGGGGAAACCCAGUGUGAUUCGUCACACUAUCAUUAACUGAAUCCAUAGGUUAAUGAGGCGAACCGGGGGAACUGAAACAUCUAAGUACCCCGAGGAAAAGAAAUCAACCGAGAUUCCCCCAGUAGCGGCGAGCGAACGGGGAGGAGCCCAGAGCCUGAAUCAGUGUGUGUGUUAGUGGAAGCGUCUGGAAAGGCGCGCGAUACAGGGUGACAGCCCCGUACACAAAAAUGCACAUGCUGUGAGCUCGAUGAGUAGGGCGGGACACGUGGUAUCCUGUCUGAAUAUGGGGGGACCAUCCUCCAAGGCUAAAUACUCCUGACUGACCGAUAGUGAACCAGUACCGUGAGGGAAAGGCGAAAAGAACCCCGGCGAGGGGAGUGAAAAAGAACCUGAAACCGUGUACGUACAAGCAGUGGGAGCACGCUUAGGCGUGUGACUGCGUACCUUUUGUAUAAUGGGUCAGCGACUUAUAUUCUGUAGCAAGGUUAACCGAAUAGGGGAGCCGAAGGGAAACCGAGUCUUAACUGGGCGUUAAGUUGCAGGGUAUAGACCCGAAACCCGGUGAUCUAGCCAUGGGCAGGUUGAAGGUUGGGUAACACUAACUGGAGGACCGAACCGACUAAUGUUGAAAAAUUAGCGGAUGACUUGUGGCUGGGGGUGAAAGGCCAAUCAAACCGGGAGAUAGCUGGUUCUCCCCGAAAGCUAUUUAGGUAGCGCCUCGUGAAUUCAUCUCCGGGGGUAGAGCACUGUUUCGGCAAGGGGGUCAUCCCGACUUACCAACCCGAUGCAAACUGCGAAUACCGGAGAAUGUUAUCACGGGAGACACACGGCGGGUGCUAACGUCCGUCGUGAAGAGGGAAACAACCCAGACCGCCAGCUAAGGUCCCAAAGUCAUGGUUAAGUGGGAAACGAUGUGGGAAGGCCCAGACAGCCAGGAUGUUGGCUUAGAAGCAGCCAUCAUUUAAAGAAAGCGUAAUAGCUCACUGGUCGAGUCGGCCUGCGCGGAAGAUGUAACGGGGCUAAACCAUGCACCGAAGCUGCGGCAGCGACGCUUAUGCGUUGUUGGGUAGGGGAGCGUUCUGUAAGCCUGCGAAGGUGUGCUGUGAGGCAUGCUGGAGGUAUCAGAAGUGCGAAUGCUGACAUAAGUAACGAUAAAGCGGGUGAAAAGCCCGCUCGCCGGAAGACCAAGGGUUCCUGUCCAACGUUAAUCGGGGCAGGGUGAGUCGACCCCUAAGGCGAGGCCGAAAGGCGUAGUCGAUGGGAAACAGGUUAAUAUUCCUGUACUUGGUGUUACUGCGAAGGGGGGACGGAGAAGGCUAUGUUGGCCGGGCGACGGUUGUCCCGGUUUAAGCGUGUAGGCUGGUUUUCCAGGCAAAUCCGGAAAAUCAAGGCUGAGGCGUGAUGACGAGGCACUACGGUGCUGAAGCAACAAAUGCCCUGCUUCCAGGAAAAGCCUCUAAGCAUCAGGUAACAUCAAAUCGUACCCCAAACCGACACAGGUGGUCAGGUAGAGAAUACCAAGGCGCUUGAGAGAACUCGGGUGAAGGAACUAGGCAAAAUGGUGCCGUAACUUCGGGAGAAGGCACGCUGAUAUGUAGGUGAAGUCCCUCGCGGAUGGAGCUGAAAUCAGUCGAAGAUACCAGCUGGCUGCAACUGUUUAUUAAAAACACAGCACUGUGCAAACACGAAAGUGGACGUAUACGGUGUGACGCCUGCCCGGUGCCGGAAGGUUAAUUGAUGGGGUCAGCGCAAGCGAAGCUCUUGAUCGAAGCCCCGGUAAACGGCGGCCGUAACUAUAACGGUCCUAAGGUAGCGAAAUUCCUUGUCGGGUAAGUUCCGACCUGCACGAAUGGCGUAAUGAUGGCCAGGCUGUCUCCACCCGAGACUCAGUGAAAUUGAACUCGCUGUGAAGAUGCAGUGUACCCGCGGCAAGACGGAAAGACCCCGUGAACCUUUACUAUAGCUUGACACUGAACAUUGAGCCUUGAUGUGUAGGAUAGGUGGGAGGCUUUGAAGUGUGGACGCCAGUCUGCAUGGAGCCGACCUUGAAAUACCACCCUUUAAUGUUUGAUGUUCUAACGUUGACCCGUAAUCCGGGUUGCGGACAGUGUCUGGUGGGUAGUUUGACUGGGGCGGUCUCCUCCUAAAGAGUAACGGAGGAGCACGAAGGUUGGCUAAUCCUGGUCGGACAUCAGGAGGUUAGUGCAAUGGCAUAAGCCAGCUUGACUGCGAGCGUGACGGCGCGAGCAGGUGCGAAAGCAGGUCAUAGUGAUCCGGUGGUUCUGAAUGGAAGGGCCAUCGCUCAACGGAUAAAAGGUACUCCGGGGAUAACAGGCUGAUACCGCCCAAGAGUUCAUAUCGACGGCGGUGUUUGGCACCUCGAUGUCGGCUCAUCACAUCCUGGGGCUGAAGUAGGUCCCAAGGGUAUGGCUGUUCGCCAUUUAAAGUGGUACGCGAGCUGGGUUUAGAACGUCGUGAGACAGUUCGGUCCCUAUCUGCCGUGGGCGCUGGAGAACUGAGGGGGGCUGCUCCUAGUACGAGAGGACCGGAGUGGACGCAUCACUGGUGUUCGGGUUGUCAUGCCAAUGGCACUGCCCGGUAGCUAAAUGCGGAAGAGAUAAGUGCUGAAAGCAUCUAAGCACGAAACUUGCCCCGAGAUGAGUUCUCCCUGACCCUUUAAGGGUCCUGAAGGAACGUUGAAGACGACGACGUUGAUAGGCCGGGUGUGUAAGCGCAGCGAUGCGUUGAGCUAACCGGUACUAAUGAACCGUGAGGCUUAACCUU